RNAcentral lists this ribosomal RNA (253 nucleotides) under uncultured bacterium. RNAcentral describes it as "partial 16S ribosomal RNA". It matches the Rfam family "Bacterial small subunit ribosomal RNA", at positions 524 to 776 of the family's 1533-position model. The record is from RNAcentral.
UACGGGGGGGGUAAGCGUUGUUCGGAAUUACUGGGCGUAAAGGGCGCGUAGGCGGGAUGGCAAGUCGGUCGUGAAAUCCUUCGGCUCAACCGAAGAACGUCGAUCGAUACUGCUGUUCUAGAGGGUUGCAGAGGAGACUGGAAUUCCCGGUGUAGCGGUGAAAUGUGUAGAGAUCGGGAGGAACACCGGUGGCGAAGGCGGGUCUCUGGGCAACUCCUGACGCUGAGGCGCGAAAGCAUGGGGAGCAAACAGG